UUGAGAUUUGCUAUAAGUACAUCCUGCUUAACGUGAGUGUACUGUAUGUAUCUGAUUUUUUUUUUUUAUCAAUAUAAGUAUUGAAUGAUACCAGAUAGCACACCUGCUGUUCUGAUGUGUUUUGAACACAAAACUGGAAAGUACUGAAUUCAGUUAAUCCAUUCUAUUUCUUUUGUCCAAAUUCAGCAAGUUAAAAGCUUCUUUCUAUCCCUUCUUCUCAGUUCCCACCUGUUUUUUCCUAUAGGCAGAAGAUGAUUUGGUGUCUGAGGUAACUUGGGUUUGAUGAGCAGUGUCUCUCUGCCUCUGUUGUUGUAUUUGUGAUUUGCAUUUUUUCCCCUCAUUUGGCCACUGAUUUUCCUCCUUCAUUCUUCCUUCUAACCUCCUUUUUGACUUCUGUCCUCUAGCUGCCUCCCGCCAGCCGCUUUCUUCACUCUCCAUCUGUUUCUUCAGCUGCACGUGUCUCUUGUGUUGUUCUCUUCAGCUUUAGCUCUCACAUUCCUCUCAUCACAUUCAGUCUGUUCUCCUCUCUAGGACGAAGAAGAACUCCGAGAGCUUGAGGAAGACUAGUGCUCUGAAGCUGAGGAUUUUGGACCUGGAUUUUCCCACACAGCUUGAAGUGACACCCCACUUGCCCUGGAGCCAUCAAAAAAUCGCCCACAAAAACCUUCACCGCAGCUUUGCCCAAGCCAAAUGUGACACCACUGCACUGGAGAAUAUGCACUCAGGACCCCAACUUCAAGCCCCCAUGAAAACUGUGCCUUUUUGAGGUUGCAAAAUGCCUUUUUAUGCUAGAGUUGCUUCAUCUUAAGUGGCAAGUUUCAAGUGAAUUUAAAGGGAUGUGUUUUUGUUACUGUACAUAUAGAAACUAGCUUAUUGUACUACUUUUAAAACGAAUAUUUUGUGACUUUGUUCUAUAGAAUCCCAAAUAGUUGUGCCAAACCACUCAAAUGUGCCAAACUAAUACUUACAAAUACUUCUCUGUGUGUCUUAUAUUGUACAGUACAGUACACUACCAGUCAUAUUUUGGACACACUUUGCCACAGUGCUAAAUGCUAAAAAUAGACUGAACUCAUAGGAAAUUAAUAGUUAUAAACUUUCAAAUGUUUGGAGGAAAAUCCCAUAUGUUGUGUUGUGAAAGACUGUGUGUUCGAUCAAAUUCAUCAAGCUAAGCUAGCCAUAAGCUAUCUGUUGUAGAUGCUAACAUGAGCAGGUACUUGAUAUCCCCUUCUUAUUGAAAACUAUGAACAAACAAGGUUUACUGUGUAUGAACACUGACCACAGUUUGUUUUUGCUAAUACCAUGAAACUUGACAAAAUUUGACAGAAUUCAAUUUAAAAAGCCAAUAUUAUCCAUCAUAUUUGUAACAAUUAUUUAGCAUAUUGUUGAGCCUAUACAGCUCAUGGUAAUUUUAAUAAUAUGAAAUGUCUGAUUGUCUUACAGAAUGAUUGGUAAUUGCCUAAACAGGUUUAGCUAAUUGCAUAUGAAAUGAGGAAAGUUUUUUGUUUACUUUUAAUACAAUAAAUUAGUGCUGUUAAACGAUUAAUCGCAAUUAAUCGCAUCCCAAAUAUUUAUAUUUAAUAUCUAAACAUAUU
This is a long non-coding RNA of Sinocyclocheilus anshuiensis, 1592 nucleotides long. NCBI's taxonomy places the organism in Eukaryota, Metazoa, Chordata, Actinopteri, Cypriniformes, Cyprinidae. The record is from Ensembl.